This 551-nucleotide ribosomal RNA is filed under the name Rhodotorula sp. AK-2009a. RNAcentral's name for it is "eukaryotic LSU rRNA". It matches the Rfam family "Eukaryotic large subunit ribosomal RNA", at positions 73 to 622 of the family's 3401-position model. Lineage: Eukaryota; Fungi; Basidiomycota; Microbotryomycetes; Sporidiobolales; Sporidiobolaceae. The record is from RNAcentral.
GAUUCCCCUAGUAACGGCGAGUGAAGCGGGAAGAGCUCAAAUUUGUAAUCUGGCACUUUCAGUGUCCGAGUUGUAAUCUCGAGAAGUGUUUUCCGCGCCAGACCGCAUACAAGUCUGUUGGAAUACAGCGUCAUAGUGGUGAGAACCCCGUAACUGAUGCGGAUGCCUGGUGCUCUGUGAUACACUUUCGAAGAGUCGAGUUGUUUGGGAAUGCAGCUCAAAUUGGGUGGUAAAUUCCAUCUAAAGCUAAAUAUUGGCGAGAGACCGAUAGCGAACAAGUACCGUGAGGGAAAGAUGAAAAGCACUUUGGAAAGAGAGUUAACAGUACGUGAAAUUGUUGGAAGGGAAACGCUUGAAGUCAGACUUGCUAUUUGGAAUUCAGCCGCAAGGUGUAUUUUUCAAUUCGCAGGCCAGCAUCAGUUUUUGGGGGUGGAAAAGGGUAGAGAGAAGGUAGCAACUCCGGUUGUGUUAUAGCUCUUUGCUGGAUUCAUCCUUGGGGACUGAGGAACGCAGCACGCUUUUUGCAAGGCUUUCGAGCUUUUCGUGCUUAG